CUAACUGCGUGCCUUUUGAAGAAUGAGCCGGCGAGUUAAUCUGAGCAGCUAGGUUAAGGGAUAUCAGUCCCGGAGCCGAAGCGAAAGCGAGUCCUAACAGGGCGCGACCUGGAUGGAGAUGAACCCAAAGGUUGAAGAUUCGUUGUGCGCUGAAGCCCGUUUAGGCGGGGUGAAGCAAUCGAUGGGCCGGACGCCGGAGGUGAAGUUUCCGUUAUGUCCGGGGUGUUGUCUGGAUUAGACCCGAAACCGGGUGAGCUACCCAUGGCCAGGUUGAAGCCCCGAUAAUAUCGGGGUGGAGGACCGAACCCGUGUAUGUUGCAAAAUGCUGGGAUGAGCUGUGGGUAGAGGUGAAAUGCUAAUCGAACCCGGAGAUAGCUGGUUCUCCCCGAAAUGUAUUUAGGUACAGCGUUCGGGUAGUCUUGUGGAGGUAGGGCACUGGAUAGGUAAAGGGGCGUGAGCCUACUAAACUUAACCAAACCACGAAUGCCGCAAGAUGGUCCCGGGCAGUGAGACAGUGGGGGAUAAGCUCCAUUGUCGAAAGGGAAACAGCCCAGAUCGCAGGCUAAGGUCCCCAAGUGUGUGCUAAGUGUGAAACGAAGUGAGAUUGCUAAAACAGCUAGGAGGUUGGCUUAGAAGCAGCCAUCCUUUAAAGAGUGCGUAAUAGCUCACUAGUCGAGGAAUUUUGCGCGGAAAAUGUAACGGGGCUAAAGCACACCACCGAAGCCGCGGGCCCGCUUUGCGGGCGGUAGGGGAGCGUUGUCAGGGCGUCGAAGCUAGAUCGUGAGGUCUGGUGGAGCGCUGAGAAGUGAGAAUGCCGGCAUGAGUAGCGACAAUCCUGGUGAGAAUCCAGGACACCGAAAGCAUAAGGUUUCCUACGCAAUGCUGAUCAGCGUAGGGUAAGUCGGGCCUAAGCCGUAGCGUAUAGCGAAGGCGAUGGACAGCAGGUCAAAAUUCCUGCACCGCAGACAUAGCGUUUUAAAGCAAAGGGGGGACACGGAAAGAUAGGCGGAGCGCACCCAUCGGACAUGGUGCGUCGGACCCUGAAGGCCAAGCUGGGAUAGGCAAAUCCGUUCCAGCGUGAUGAGCUGAGGGGGUUGGAAACUCCAGGGCUUAUGCCCGGGGGAAUUCCGUUGAUUCUAUGCCGUCGAGAAAAUCCUCGUUGCAAGUUUUGUCAGCGUCCGUACCGCAAACCGACACAGGUAUGUAGGGGUAAGUAUCCCAAGGUGAACGAGAGAACCCUCGUUAAGGAAUUCGACAAGUUGACUCCGUAACUUCGGGAUAAGGAGUACCCGUGGGGUGAAAGUCACUAGCUGACUGGAUGCCCUUGCGGGUGGCACUAAACAGGCUCAGGCGACUGUUUAUCAAAAACACAGGUCUCUGCUAAAGCGAAAGCUGAUGUAUAGGGGCUGACACCUGCCCAGUGCCGGAAGGUUAAGGGGAUGGGUUCGUUCGCUUGCGAACAAAGCUCAGAACCGAAGCCCCGGUGAACGGCGGCCGUAACUAUAACGGUCCUAAGGUAGCGAAAUCCCUUGUCGGGUAAGUUCCGACCCGCACGAAU
Molecule: ribosomal RNA, 1558 nt
Filed under: marine metagenome
Description: bacterial LSU rRNA
Rfam family: Bacterial large subunit ribosomal RNA
Source: RNAcentral